GUAGUCAUAUGCUUGUCUCAAAGAUUAAGCCAUGCAUGUCUAAGUAUAAACAAAUUUGUACUGUGAAACUGCGAAUGGCUCAUUAAAUCAGUUAUAGUUUAUUUGAUGGUACAUUGCUACAUGGAUAACUGUGGUAAUUCUAGAGCUAAUACAUGCGUUAAAGCCCCGACUUCUGGAAGGGGUGUAUUUAUUAGAUAAAAAACCAACGCGGUUCGCCGCUCCUUUGGUGAUUCAUAAUAACUUCUCGAAUCGCAUGGCCUUGUGCCGGCGAUGCUUCAUUCAAAUAUCUGCCCUAUCAACUUUCGAUGGUAGGAUAGGGGCCUACCAUGGUAUCAACGGGUAACGGGAAU
This 350-nucleotide ribosomal RNA is filed under the name uncultured fungus. RNAcentral's name for it is "SSU rRNA". It matches the Rfam family "Eukaryotic small subunit ribosomal RNA", at positions 20 to 369 of the family's 1831-position model. Lineage: Eukaryota; Fungi. The record is from RNAcentral.